UGAGGAAUAUUGGACAAUGGGUGAGAGCCUGAUCCAGCCAUCCCGCGUGCAGAAAGACGGCCUUAUGGGUUGUAAACUGCUUUUGUAGAGGAAUAAACCACCUUUCGUGAAGGGUGUUGAAGGUACUGUAGGAAUAAGCACCGGCUAACUCCGUGCCAGCAGCCGCGGUAAUACGGAGGGUGCAAGCGUUAUCCGGAUUUAUUGGGUUUAAAGGGUCCGCAGGCGGACUAGUAAGUCAGGGGUGAAAGCCGGCAGCUCAACUGUAGAACUCCUUUUGAUACUGCUAGUCUUGAUUGAAAUGGA
This 303-nucleotide ribosomal RNA is filed under the name uncultured bacterium. Its description in RNAcentral is "bacterial SSU rRNA". It matches the Rfam family "Bacterial small subunit ribosomal RNA", at positions 355 to 655 of the family's 1533-position model. The record is from RNAcentral.